ACCAGACUUGUGCUGGGCGGAUCAUCCAGUGUUCUCACUGGUGCACUCCGCUCGGUUCAGGCCAGCAUCGGUUCGGGUGGCAGGAUAAAGGCCUUGGGAAUGUAGCUUCUUUCGGGGAGUGUUAUAGCCCUCGGUGCAAUGCCGCCUACCUGGACCGAGGACCGCGCUUCGGCUAGGAUGCUGGCGUAAUGGUUGUAAGCGA
Molecule: ribosomal RNA, 202 nt
Filed under: Hyaloscyphaceae sp.
Lineage: Eukaryota; Fungi; Ascomycota; Leotiomycetes; Helotiales; Hyaloscyphaceae
Description: partial large subunit ribosomal RNA
Source: RNAcentral